GUCCACGCUUUAAACGAUGGACACUCGGCAUCUGGCGCCGUUAAGACGGCGCUGGGUGCCCAAGCUAACGCGGAAGUGUCCCGCCUGGGAACUACGAGCGCAAGCUUAAAACUCAAAGGAAUUGACGGGGGCCCCGCACAAGCAGCGGAGCGUGUGGUUUAAUUCGACGCAACGCGCAGAACCUUACCCAGAUUGGACAUGCUACUGCAAGCUCGUGAAAGCGAGCCGCCUUCGAGGGUGUGGCACAGAUGCUGCAUGGCUGUCGU
Molecule: ribosomal RNA, 266 nt
Filed under: uncultured bacterium
Lineage: Bacteria
Description: partial 16S ribosomal RNA
Rfam family: Bacterial small subunit ribosomal RNA
Source: RNAcentral